GCAGCUUAGUCGUCAGUGACCACGAAAACUAUGAAGAAUUCCGAAUAUCUGAAACAAUAUACCUAAUAGCAAAAACAAAGCGAGAUUAAACCGUAAAAGUAGUUUUAAUUACAUUGGACUCUGUUAUUGACUAUGAUAAAAGCG
This is a non-coding RNA of Bombyx mori (domestic silkworm), 144 nucleotides long. NCBI's taxonomy places the organism in Eukaryota, Metazoa, Arthropoda, Insecta, Lepidoptera, Bombycidae. The record is from RefSeq and is marked provisional.